UGCCCUAGUAACGGCGAGUGAAGCGGCAACAGCUCAAAUUUGAAAUCUGGCUCUUUCAGAGUCCGAGUUGUAAUUUGCAGAGGGCGCUUUGGCGUUGGCAGCGGUCCAAGUUCUUUGGAACAGGACGUCACAGAGGGUGAGAAUCCCGUACGUGGUCGCUAGCCUUCGCCGUGUAAAGCCCCUUCGACGAGUCGAGUUGUUUGGGAAUGCAGCUCUAAAUGGGAGGUAAAUUUCUUCUAAAGCUAAAUACUGGCCAGAGACCGAUAGCGCACAAGUAGAGUGAUCGAAAGAUGAAAAGCACUUUGGAAAGAGAGUCAAAUAGCACGUGAAAUUGUUGAAAGGGAAGCGCUUGCAGCCAGACUUGCCUGUAGUUGCUUAUCUGGACUUUUGUCCGGUGCACUCUUCUGCGGGCAGGCCAGCAUCAGUUUGGGCGGUUGGAUAAAGGUCUCUGUCAUGUACCUCCUUUCGGGGAGGCCUUAUAGGGGAGACGACAUGCAACCAGCCUGGACUGAGGUCCGCGCAUCUGCUAGGAUGCUGGCGUAAUGGCUGUAAGCGGCCCGUCUUGAAACACGGACCAAGGAGUCUAACAUCUAUGCGAGUGUUUGGGUGUCAAGCCCAGACGCGUAAUGAAAGUGAACGGAGGUGGGAACCUUUUAGGUGCACCAUCGACCGAUCCUGAUGUCUUCGGAAGGAUUUGAGUAAGAGCAUGGCUGUUGGGACCCGAAAGAUGGUGAACUAUGCUUGAAUAGGGUGAAGCCAGAGGAAACUCUGGUGGAGGCUCGCAGCGGUUCUGACGUGCAAAUCGAUCGUCAAAUUUGGGCAUAGGGGCGAAAGACUAAUCGAACUAUCUAGUAGCUGGUYCCUGCCGAAGUUUCCCUCAGGAUAGCAGUAACGUAUUCAGUUUUAUGAGGUAAAGCGAAUGAUUAGAGGCCUGGGGGUUGAAACAACCUUCACCUAUUCUCAAACUUUAAAUAUGUAAGAAGUCCUUGUUACUUGAUUGAACGUGGACACUUGAAUGUACCGUUACUAGUGGGCCAUUUUUGGUAAGCAGAACUGGCGAUGCGGGAUGAACCGAACGCGGGGUUAAGGUGCCAGAAUAUACGCUCAUCAGACACCACAAAAGGUGUUAGUUCAUCUAGACAGCAGGACGGUGGCCAUGGAAGUCGGAAUCCGCUAAGGAGUGUGUAACAACUCACCUGCCGAAUGAACUAGCCCUGAAAAUGGAUGGCGCUCAAGCGUAUUACCCAUACCCCGCCGCCGGGGCAGAAUUUAUGCCCCGGCGAGUAGGC
RNAcentral lists this ribosomal RNA (1289 nucleotides) under Didymocyrtis aff. consimilis Ertz 17617B (BR). Its description in RNAcentral is "eukaryotic LSU rRNA". It matches the Rfam family "Eukaryotic large subunit ribosomal RNA", at positions 76 to 1386 of the family's 3401-position model. Lineage: Eukaryota; Fungi; Ascomycota; Dothideomycetes; Pleosporales; Phaeosphaeriaceae. The record is from RNAcentral.